This 433-nucleotide ribosomal RNA is filed under the name uncultured bacterium. RNAcentral describes it as "partial 16S ribosomal RNA". It matches the Rfam family "Bacterial small subunit ribosomal RNA", at positions 29 to 507 of the family's 1533-position model. The record is from RNAcentral.
AGCGAACGCUGGCGGCAGGCUUAACACAUGCAAGUCGAGCGGGCACUUCGGUGUCAGCGGCAGACGGGUGAGUAACCCGUGGGAACGUACCCUUUGGUUCGGAAUAACGCCGGGAAACUAGCGCUAAUACCGGAUACGCCCUUUUGGGGAAAGGCUUGCUGCCGCAGGAUCGGCCCGCGUCUGAUUAGCUAGUUGGUGGGGUAAUGGCCUACCAAGGCGACGAUCAGUAGCUGGUCUGAGAGGAUGAUCAGCCACACUGGGACUGGGACACGGCCCAGACUCCUACGGGAGGCAGCAGUGGGGAAUAUUGGACAAUGGGCGCAAGCCUGAUCCAGCCAGGCCGCGUGAGUGAUGAAGGCCUUAGGGUUGUAAAGCUCUGUUGACCGGGACGAUAAUGACGGUACCGGAAGAAUAAGCCCCGGCUAACUUCGUG